AACGAACGCUGGCGGCAUGCCUAACACAUGCAAGUCGAACGAGACCUUCGGGUCUAGUGGCGCACGGGUGCGUAACGCGUGGGAACCUGCCCUUAGGUUCGGAAUAACUCCCCGAAAGGGGUGCUAAUACCGGAUAAUGUCUUCGGACCAAAGAUUUAUCGCCUUUGGAUGGGCCCGCGUUGGAUUAGCUAGUUGGUAGGGUAAAAGCCUACCAAGGCGACGAUCCAUAGCUGGUCUGAGAGGAUGAUCAGCCACACUGGGACUGAGACACGGCCCAGACUCAUACGGGAGGAAGCAGUGGGGAAUAUUGGAAAAUGGGCGAAUGCUUGAUCAAGCAAUGCCGCGGGAGUGAUGAAGGCCUUAGGGUUGUAAAGUUCUUUUACCCGGGAUGAGAAGGACAUUACCGGGAGAAUAGGCUCCGGCUAACUCCAUG
RNAcentral lists this ribosomal RNA (433 nucleotides) under uncultured bacterium. Its description in RNAcentral is "partial 16S ribosomal RNA". It matches the Rfam family "Bacterial small subunit ribosomal RNA", at positions 29 to 507 of the family's 1533-position model. The record is from RNAcentral.